GACGUAGGGCGCGAGCGUUGUCCGGAUUUAUUGGGCGUAAAGAGCUCGUAGGCGGCUUGUCGCGUCGAAUGUGAAAUCUCAGGGCUCAACUCUGACAUUGCAUUCGAUACGGGCAGGCUAGAGUUCGGUAGGGGAGACUGGAAUUCCUGGUGUAGCGGUGAAAUGCGUAGAUAUCUGGAGGAACACCGGUGGCGAAGGCGGCAUCCUGGACCGGCAUUGACGCUGAGGAGCGAAAGCCAGGGGAGCAAACGGG
This 253-nucleotide ribosomal RNA is filed under the name uncultured bacterium. RNAcentral describes it as "partial 16S ribosomal RNA". It matches the Rfam family "Bacterial small subunit ribosomal RNA", at positions 524 to 776 of the family's 1533-position model. The record is from RNAcentral.